This 9118-nucleotide long non-coding RNA is filed under the name Podarcis lilfordi (Lilford's wall lizard). The record is from RNAcentral. Lineage: Eukaryota; Metazoa; Chordata; Lepidosauria; Squamata; Lacertidae.
AGAAAAUGAGAAGUGUCUGAAAAGCUGCUUCUGCAAUAUGGUGGGGGAAGGGGGUGUCAGCUCGAUGUUUGCUUUUUUAAAAAUCCACUCAGCUAGCACAAACCCUUACUCUGAGCCUUGGAACAUAUUUUGAUUCUAGAUUAUGUCUAGUCUCUUUUCAGUCUGUGCUAGCUGUACCCAAUACUGUUAAAUCAAAGCAUUGGCGAUACAAGCGUCUUGAUGAUGUUUCUGCCUGCCAUUUCUGCCGCAACAUAAUGUUUUUGCCUCUUCUCAUUUUACGAGGCAGUGUAGAGGCUGUGGAGACUGGAAACCAUCUCCAGCGUAUCUGAAGUACUGAUUGUUUUUCAGCACCGAUGUAAAGGUUUGCACAAUCAUCAUCAAGAAACAAAUAAAGUUGUCAAAGUCUAUUGUCUGGGGGUUCUCGAAAUCUGUCGCGAGACAACUAAAAGUUUUCCAUUCUAAUUACCUUCAGAAAGGAGAGCCAAUUCCUGCUACAUAAUGAGGUUUUCACUCUAGCAAUGCUAAGAACCAUUUUUUUAUUCAAAGGUCUAUUUGAUGUUUUAUUGAUUUACUCUAUAUUCAAGAGGUUUUAAAAGGUUUUCACUCCGCGGGGUUUUAAAUCCAACCUAUCAAGGAAUAUAUUUUGGACAAAAUUGCAAAUAAAUUAAAUGUGUCACCUCGUAAUUCAAAAUAUAGCAGUUCCCCAUAAAUAUACUAGUCAUGAGAGUGUGUGUGUGUGUGUGUGUGUGUGUGUGUGUGUACUAUUCCUAUAUCCAUUUGUCCUCUCUGUGUUUCUCUUUUCAGUGAUUUCUUUUACCCCCUUUUGAAAGUAUGCAAAUGCAUUCACAAGACGUGUAUGAGGAAGUACACCACCAUUACCCAAGGCAACUUGAGCAAUGAUACCUUCCCCCAUCCAAAUACACAUAAUUACAUAUGACUAGCUGGAGCAGAAUGUAAAUAGAGUUGCCAUUUAUCUACACUAUGUUUGUGGGAGGCAUAUUCGAAUGUACAUCUCCAUCCAUAUUUCCAGAACAACCACCAUUGGGACAAGUAGGGCAGAAGGCAUUGAGACCAACAGUAUGCAGAGUCAGAGCCAAUGAAUGACAAAGCCUACUAAUUUUUGUCCAGUUUUGUUCCCAUUCUCUUUCCUGCCAAGUUUUACAAAAGCAGCCCUGAGACUUAAGGAGGAGGGAGCUGACAAGUAGUGCCACACCAUGGACUGGCUGCAAAUAAGAAGGUGGGGACGGGCUGAGGGCAGACAGACUAGAGAAGCAGUUCCCCCAUUUGCCCUAAUAAUUACAUGACUACUGCAUGAAACUAUGUGUGACUAGAGCCGGGCUGGAGUAAAUGGCUUCCCACACAGCACCGCCAGGCAGGCAAUGAAACAAACAGUUUAUGUUUAUGGUACUGUACCUCACAGAAGGUGGCACAUCAAAUGAGAGGUAUUCCGUAUGUUCCAUGGGCCCACACAUGACCAAGGAGUCAAAGAAGGAACUGCUGGAGUGAUGGCUUUCUUUUUAGGUCUGUCACUUCACAGGCAAACUUCUAUCAUAUCCCAGUUUACUCUCAAUAGUAAGUACAGUCAACCUGGAGGCCUCUAGUCUUGGGGUACCUGGCUUUUGUGCACUUUGCCUCAGCAGGAAUAGCCCAGAAUUUCCUGUGGAGGAAGUGGGCUGGGUAGAGUUGGAAUGCAGAUAUUCCAUAUUUGGAAAGAGUCUCUGGCAGAGGAGUAGGGCCAAAUCUCCCCUCUUUGUGUGGAGGACCCCUCACUUGGAGGCCUAGCAGUCUCAAACUAUCCUCUGGACUUCUUCCCCCCUCUGUGAGGUAUUUUAUAUCUUCCAGGUCUCCCCAACCUUCAUUCUGGCUGAGGCUCUACAGCUGUACUCCUUCCCACCCAUCAGGCAGAUUUAUGAGAAGGCCCCACCCUGCUCCUUUUAACACUGGUGGAACCUUCAGGCAAUGUCCAAACAUAGUCUCCUCAGGAGUCGUUAUCUGAUUGGUCCUUGGUGGUUGAGACAGGGGCCUCCUGAAAGGGCAAAGUGCUGGCAAAGGAACAGAAAGCCUCUGUGGCCCAUCAAAUAUGCAAGAGCUUUGUUAGUCUUCGGUGAUGCUGUAACAUAGUCAUAAAUAAAGCAAUGCUUUGGCGCUAAGUAUGUAAUCCCUGAUGGACGGGAGCCAGUGAUGAAAAAUAAAUAAUAUUUAAAAACAGCUUUGUUCCAGCUAAUGCUUUGACUGCCAAUGAUAAUAAAGAUAGUUUCAAUAGGCUUUUCAGACUUCUGCUAUCCCAAAGUUUUAGUGCAGAAAAUUGUCACAGCACUUUAGUUGAUUUGAUUGACAUCCUAUGCCCUUUUAGCAUGUGGGGGGUUUUUUUGCAGGGGGGAGGGGUAUUGGGUUGUUGUUUUUAUUUUGAUUAUAUGUUUUGUGGUUUUAUGUUUUGAUUUUGUUCUGUGAACCAUGUGAACUGCCCUGAGACCUCUGAGUAUAGGGCGGGAUAUAAACAACAACAACAGUAUAACUGAUAUUGCACAAGCUAGAAAUAUAUGAUACUCAUAGCCCAUUCAGAAUUUGGUUAGAAAAAGAAUUUCAGCUUAUUUCAAGAGAUCAGAAUUUUGAGUACUAUACACAAAUGUUAUUAUUCCAAGAAAAAGGUAUACAGGAUUUUUUUUAAAACAAAACAAAACAUUUUUAAUGAAUUGCACAUGGUUUUCAAUAUGCAUUACCCACAUGACUCAUCACUUCCCAAUACUUCUUGAUGCUGAAAGUACAUUUUUGAUACAGUUUGAUGAGCCAGAGAUAUGCAUUUUAAUGAAACCAGUGGGACUUACCCUGCAACGAAAUGUCACAGUGAAUUGCAGCCUUGAAGGAGCCUUGUACGCCUGUUGAGGCCCCACAAAAAGGGGGAAAAUAAGUGGAGAAAGAGGAAAAUGCUAUCUUUUUAUUUCCCCUUCCCUGAGAUUUCCUCUUCUAGGUUAGAGAGCAGAACAUAAACAUUUUGUAGCUUGGGGGUGAGUGUAGUGAAUCUGGAAAAUGGGGAAAAUGUGUCUUUCUGAAACAUCCUUGAACAGUGAAGUAUGCAUUCCUUCCACCUCCAAGAUACUCACUGUAAGUAAAAUGUUAGUGGCAUGAGCAAGUCAAUUUAUUUUCUACCUUUACCAUCCACUUUCCUCUCUAGCCCUCGCAGCUGACACUCUCUGUUUCAAAAACUGUCAGGCAAAGCCUUUUCAGAAAACCCUGGGAAAUUCCACACAGAUUCUACUUUUGCCAUCCCUUUCGUCUACCCCUUCUUUCUGUCAAUGAAUCAUUCUUUGUUUGUCCUGAUGCAUCUUUUUAACUGAGAUCAGGUAAUUUUUUUUAAAAAAAACAAGUAACCUACUUCAAACCAGAGAUAACCAAAUACAUAUUGGUGCCUUUGAAAGAAUAAAUAAUUGGUGCUUCCCAUUGGUGAAAACGUAACAGUAAAUCAAGUAGCAGGCAACUUUUCUGCCCUUUCCUUGUAGCUCAAUAUCGGCUCCUUGAGGCAGGCUCCUUCUUCCCGACGUAUUGGUAGAACAAGCUCUGCCCCCACCUGGUUACUUCACAAUUUCCUAGUUCUGGUUUUCAAAGAAGAAACUGCUUUCCUCCCACACUGCAGAAGUGAAUAUAAAAUACUGAGAUAUUGUGGUAGCAAAAUAACAGGUGUCUUAGAUAGUGGGUGGCUUUCAAACACUCUCAAUCCCCCCUCCCAAAUUAUUCACAUACCCACAUACCUGAAUUUACACAGUACAUAUUUCCUUAUCUAGUGAUUUAUAUGGAAGUUGAUGGAAAGCAAUUGCAGUUUCCAUGCUCAGACUUCCUGCACUACAUUAAUAUUAAUAUUAAGCCAGCAUUCUCAGUGUUCUGAACACAUCAGAAAUAAGAAUGCAUAAUAGUAUUCUAUUAGACAAGAUACCUGAAAAGUAUUGUGCCCUCUGUAUUCCAUGGUUUGGAUCCCACUCCCUCCCCCACUCCGGUUUUGUACAGUUUCUCAUUUCUAUACGUAGCCAGAAUCAGCUCCUUCCAGUGUUUCUGAGCCGUUUGAGAAUGUACAUUUGUCAAUUAUGCCUAUGUUAUGAUCCCAAUCUCAUUGUGAGAUCUUAAAAUAUAAGUCAGAAGAGAUACAGUAUUUUAAACUGGCAGGUGUAGAAACUUUUGAAAUAAAUAUGCAUAAUUUACUUCUAUGUCAACUACACCACGAAUCAGAAUUUAAUGAAAUAAAAUAUUCCCGUGCCAAAGGGUAAUUUUGAAUCAUUUGGUCACUAGCAUAUGAAUUGUUAAAGACAAUUUUAAAUUAAAUAAAUUAUCAUUUGAUACCUGAGGAUCUAUUGAGACGAGAAACCUUGUCAGUGUGUUGUAACUUUAAUUACUAAAGUCUUUAAUUUAGAGGUUGAACAAAAGUGUAAUUUCCUGAGGCUUAACCAGAAUAUUUUUACACAUACUUUUGGUCUGCGUUUACUUCUUUCUCCAGAGCAAUGUUCUACAUGCACACACCUUCCCUGUGUAGUCAUUGUACUUGACCAUGCCAAGUGGCAGCCCAGGGCAUACUAAGGACCUGCCAGAGCCCAAGCAAAGGCCCACUGAUUCUACAGCUAAGUUGGCUCUGCUGGGUGCUGGCAGGGACAUGAAGAUGGCUAGAUCCACACAACACGCCAAACCCAACAGCAGCAGCAUCUGAAUUACACCAGCCCUGGUCCCAACAAGCAUGCCUAAGAAGCAGGUCCACGAUUAUUCAGACAGUGGCAUUAGUGAAUAUAGGAACGUGGGCCAAGUGCUUUGCCAUCCAACACACAAACUCACACACACACACACACAGAGAGAGAGAGAGAGAGAGAGAGAGAGAGGCUGUUACAUGGAAGUAAGAAAGAUUUUUUUUAAUAUAACAAUUUUUAUUAAUUUUUCAGUUUAUACAUCUCAAAACAAACAUUUUACAUAAUACCACGUAGCAAUUGACUUCCCUCCUGCCCCUUUCAUGGUUCAUUUUACUUACCUAUCAUUCCUGCCUAUUUUACUAUAGCCAAUCUAAUUGUUUCUCCAUUUUACAUCCUUCAAAUAUUUACCAUAAUGUUGAAUUUAUGUAAAUGCUACCAGCAUUUUUAAUUGUACACAAUUAUUUUUUAAAUAUUCAGCAAAAAUUUUCCACUCCUCUUUGAAUGAAUGUUCUUCUUGCUCUCUUAUUCUAUAAGUUCUAUAAGUUAAACGUACUUCUUCCGUAAAUUUUAUUAUAUUAAGUUGCCAAUCUUCCUUACUAGGGAUCUUGCUCACUUUCCAUCUCUGGGCUAGCAAAAUUCAAGCCACUGUGGUUGCAUACAUAAAUGGUUACCCCCCCCCCCCCCGAUAACUGGGAGCUUCAGACUGAAGUAUUCCUUUUUUUAUUCAGGUUUUUUGGGGAGUGUUGUUGUUGUUUUUAACUCUUUGUAAAUCAUUUCCCAAUAGCCUUUAACUUUUUUACAUGUCCACCACAUGUGAAAAAAAUGGUUCCAUUUCUCUACAUUUCGAACACAGAUCUGAUCCAACUUUGUACAUCUUGACCAACCUUCUCAGGGUUAAAUACCAUCUAGGCAUCAUUUUCAUAUAAUUCUCUUUCAGAGUAUAACGUGGUAAAUGUCAAAUCAUUCUUCCAGAGUUUCUCCCAGAGGUUUAGGUCUAUGUUAUGCCCUAUAUCCACAAAAUAAGAAAGAAAUCUUUAUCCAGGCAAGGAGUAACAAUUCAGGAGUUCAGGCACAGGGCUAAAUUGAUGACGAUGUCCCAACAAAUUUCUCCAUAUUCUGUACAUGUGUAGAGCGAAUUUUGCAAAAUGUUUUUUUUCCCCAACAACAAAGGAUGUAUUUGGACAUAAGCUGCACUAUGGUUUAAGCAUUACAAGAAUGAGCCAAGGCUCUUUUGUCCCCUGUUCUCUAGUGCAGCUGUAAGGAGAUUGGAAACUUGCAUUUUAGAUUGAAUACAGUUUGCCAUGCCAUCUAAAUCUAGGCAAAAUGUGAUUUGCCUUAACUAUAGCUGGUGGAAGCAAGACACCUUCAAAGUUCAAACUAUAGUGUACCAUAGUUUGUUUUUACUAGCCACAGUUAAGAUGAGCCAAAGUUUAAGAUCUGGAAGAAACAGAAAACUAGUUAUUCAUAAACAUAAGUGGACAGUUUAAAAUUCCUCACUGCAGCAGAACUAGAAGAGAUAAAGGACCAUACAAAGCCUGAGGGGAGCAAGGAGCCUAGACUCAUUUUUUGUAAUGCUAAACUAUAUUUUAAUAUUACACCCAAGACAGCCCACUGUUGGUUCACAUGCUUAUAAUAUCAGAAAUCUGCACAUAAUCAGUAUUUCUUCCAGUAUUUAUUUUACAGUUACUGAAAUUAUGGAAAUACUCAAUAAUUUUAAUGAUCUGUUGCUUUUUUCCUGAUAUAUUUUUCAGAUAAUAGAUAUCAAAAUAUCCAGAAAAUCAAAUUAACUGUCAGGCACAUUUUAGUGUUUCAUAAAUUAUUAAUUUCAGAAUGCUAAUUAAAGAAUGUGUUUUUUUUUCAAAUAUGCAUUACACCAACUCAGAAGGUACACAUUAUGACAAUGAGGAACUUAUUGUUGGGAGCAAGGGAGAGGAGAAUGAGUAAAUCCCAUUGCACAGGAACAACGGCACUUCAAUCAGAAAUGAACAACUUUAACUGGUAACUCUUAAAAUGUCUGCCUAGCAUUGCAUUGCCAGAAAACUGGAUGUAACCUGUAAGUAUAUGCUGUUGAGACUCAUCACUUGAAAGUUAGUAGGGAGGAAAAACAGGGAGAAACCGUUGUCUUUCAAGGUGAACUGUAAGUCUUCACAAAGCCCCUAGAAGACCCUGAAUGAGCUAGGUUUUUAAGUAAUAGUCUAGCUUUUUAAGCACAUGAGGUGUUCAAAUGAAUCCACUCAGUUUGACUUCAGUAGGAGGUCUCAUUUGCUUAAAAUAGGUACAUAAUCAGAGACGAAUACUUCAAUUUUCUGUUCCCUAAUGUCCCUGGAAUACUGCAAAUAGCUUUAAUUGUAUCCAAGACUUCCAAUGAGCCUCACAAAGCACCUCAGGGCAUAUUCUUUUUCCUCGUGCCAUUAAAUAGGAUUGCAAUAUCUUCAUUUGAUAAAACAGCUCAGGCAGCUCCAAAAUAUUAAUUGUUCCUGUGGUUCUGGGAGCCCUCACAAAGCAGGACUCACACACACACAGGCUCCACUCCUAAAUAAUGAAAAACCUGUAUUGCAGAAGUAGUGAUUUGAAACCCGGGGGUUGAUGAUGAUGAUGAUGAUGAUGAUGAUGAUGAAAGUAUCUGACAGUGGGCUACUGUAACCUGAUCUGUUGAAGUUUCAAAAGACCUUUAAAAAUAGGGCUCCUUGAAGCUGAAAAGUAAACUUAUGGCCUUUCUUCCACAUCUCUCUGGAGUCACAAAAGUGAUCUGGGAGGUAUUGUAGGUUUUGAAGAUCAAUUGAUGAGUGAAACAAACACCAACUUCUCUGCUUCACACCUACAUGCUUUAAGCUCUGAAUCAGGCUAACAUUGAACAGUUGCUUCUUCUGAUAGCUGAUCUCCAGCUGGAUUUGAUUUCUGUCCGUGGUUUAACUUCUGUGCUUUAUAACCUGUGUGGUAGUACUUUGUAAUUAACCAUAACAGCAAUAGGAGAAGCUGGUGUUUUUUCAAUAGACAUUCUGUUUGAGUUCCCCCAUCUCACCACCAAUGGUUUUCUCUAGCUUCUUCUUCCUAUUGCAUCAUAACCUUGUUAGGGGAAGAAAUUAGUUCACUUUGCAUUUUGAGAUGUACUUCCAGAUAUGGACUUCACAAACCAAUAUAUGAACCACAGCACGCCUUUCAUGCUAAAUUCCAUUGUGAUGUAGUUCUCUGAUCAAAGAAUGCACACAAAAGUGCACACAGCAGUGAAAGGCUCAUACAGAAAGUGUUGAAAAAUGCAUUCUACUAGGGGAAAACUGAUUGCAAUAAGCCACGUUAGGUAAAAUUGCAGUGAAAAUGUAUAUGUUGGGAGAAAUGUGCAUGGAAAUGUGUAUGAACUUCCACAGAGACUUAAAAAAUAAUUCUGACUUAAGCCACUCUCUUGAAAGAAAAGGCAGGAUAUUAAAUAAAUAAAUAAGAAUGAUAUGCAGGAAUAAGGUUAACUGAACUUAAGAAUUGGAAAAUGAGAAACCAAAACUGAAAGCUAUUAUUAUUUAUUAUUCUGAGAGAAAAAGGGAGGUGUUCAUGGUGAGUUCCAGCACCUCUUUUUCUAGAAAAAUAGCACUGUUUCUAACUCAGCAAUCCCACCCACUCACCCACUCAUACACACAGUGUAAACUGACCAGAAAUUGCACAUGUUCAUCUAGCUCAACGGAAGACAGAAAUGCUAGUAAUCUUCUCUUUUAAGAAGAACAUUUCAAUCUCCUAUAGGGACACAUUCAUACCCUACACCAAUUUCUCUGCACAGAACAUGUAGUUUCAUUAAAACACUAAAUAAGCUUGUUACCAGUGCUGCAGAAAUCUCAAUGUCAUUUUGACAUACAAGCUGGCAAGUCAGGAAUUACGAUAUAUUGCACAACAAAAUGCUGGGUUGGCUGAAACUGUGUCUGGGGGUGAGGGUAGGUAAAUAACACUUCCUCCUCCCCCAGCCACUUGAAGAAUUCUACCGCAGUGCUGUAUAAAGGGCUAACUGCCCAGCCCAAAGCUAAGCACAUUGUACCUAUGUACUACGGUGGGUGUGUGGUUCUUGAAAGUAGUGAAGAAAAAAAGGGGUCCCUAUUCUAUUCUUGUCUCUGAACCAGGCUUCCUCAACCUCGUCCCUCCAGAUGUUUUUGGCCUACAACUCCCAUGAUCCCUAUCUAGCAGGACCAGUAGUCAGGGAUGAUGGGAAUUGUAGUCUCAAAACAUCUGGAAGUCCGAGUUUGAGGAAGCCUGCUCUGAACUCUUCCUGCAGUUGUAUCUAUAACUUCGAAAACAGACAUGCAGGCCAAUCCUGUGCAUGUCUAUUAAGAUAUACAUUCUGUGCAGUAACGAGGCUGAUAGGUAAAGGUACCCCUGCCCGUACGGGCCAGUCGUGUCUGACUCUAGGGUUGCGUGCUCAUCUCGCUCUAGAGGCCAUGAGCCGGCGCCGUCCGAAGACACUUCCGGGUCACGUG